UACAGAGGGUGCUAGCGUUGUUCGGAAUCAUUGGGCGUAAAGGGCGUGUAGGCGGUUUGUUAAGUCAUGUGUGAAAUCCCUCGGCUCAACCGGGGAACGACGCAUGAAACUGGCAAGCUAGAGUACCAAAGAGGGGGGUUGAAUUCCCGGUGUAGCGGUGAAAUGCGUAGAUAUGCGGAGGAACACCGAUGGCGAAGGCAAUCCCCUGGGCCUGCACUGACGCUCAUGCACGAAAGCGUGGGGAGCAAACAGG
RNAcentral lists this ribosomal RNA (253 nucleotides) under uncultured bacterium. Its description in RNAcentral is "partial 16S ribosomal RNA". It matches the Rfam family "Bacterial small subunit ribosomal RNA", at positions 524 to 776 of the family's 1533-position model. The record is from RNAcentral.